Molecule: transfer RNA, 76 nt
Filed under: Alphaproteobacteria bacterium
Lineage: Bacteria; Pseudomonadati; Pseudomonadota; Alphaproteobacteria
Description: tRNA-Val
Rfam family: tRNA
About the family: Transfer RNA (tRNA) molecules are approximately 80 nucleotides in length.
Source: RNAcentral
GGGCGAUUAGCUCAGCUGGGAGAGCAUCUCGUUUACACCGAGGGGGUCGGGGGUUCGAGUCCCUCAUCGCCCACCA